UCACUUGCCCCACCUUCUUACAAAACCACAAGAGAAUGUAUGAUGGAUAGAUACUUUAUAAAGGAACACCUUCUGAUUUUCACAAAUGUUUUCAAAGUCCUUUGAAAACCGCACUGGAAGGAAAUCCUAUUUUUGUAUCCUGCGAAUCCGAGAGUCUGUUCCUGAAGUUGGGCAACCCAAGGGUUGGUUAGCAGUUCCUGAAAAGGACCUUUCCAACGAGGUUGAAGAGUCUGGAGUUAAUCUUCUCCGACACACGGAACCUCCGCGUUGCAAGGUUUAAUGCUUAAGGUUGUCAUCUCUCAGAAGUGCGGCGUAGAAAGAUUGUACUUACCAAGUUGUGGUUAUUUUUUAAUAAAAGCGAUUAGGCCUUCUCAC
Molecule: long non-coding RNA, 375 nt
Organism: Panthera uncia (snow leopard)
Lineage: Eukaryota; Metazoa; Chordata; Mammalia; Carnivora; Felidae
Exons: 2
Source: RefSeq, a predicted model, not a curated record